This is a non-coding RNA of Phrynosoma platyrhinos (Desert horned lizard), 72 nucleotides long. The record is from the annotation of a GenBank genome assembly. Lineage: Eukaryota; Metazoa; Chordata; Lepidosauria; Squamata; Phrynosomatidae.
GCCUGUGUGGUGUAGUGGUUUGAGCAUGGGACUACAAAUCUGAAAACCAGGGUUCAAAACCCCUGUCAGCCA